AGUGAACGCUGGCGGCAGGCCUAACACAUGCAAGUCGAGCGGCAGCGCGGUGUAGCAAUACACUGGCGGCGGGCGGCGGACGGGUGAGGAAUACAUCGGAAUUUACCCAAUCGUGGGGGAUAACGUAGGGAAACUUACGCUAAUACCGCAUGAACUGGAGACAGCAAAGCGGCGGACCUUCGGGCGUCGCGCGGUUGGAUGAGCCGAUGUCGGAUUAGCUAGUUGGCGGGGUAAAGGCCCACCAAGGCGACGAUCCGUAGCUGGUCUGAGAGGAUGAUCAGCCACACUGGAACUGAGACACGGUCCAGACUCCUACGGGAGGCAGCAGUGGGGAAUAUUGGACAAUGGGCGCAAGCCUGAUCCAGCCAUGCCGCGUGUGUGAAGAA
RNAcentral lists this ribosomal RNA (386 nucleotides) under uncultured bacterium. Its description in RNAcentral is "bacterial SSU rRNA". It matches the Rfam family "Bacterial small subunit ribosomal RNA", at positions 30 to 412 of the family's 1533-position model. The record is from RNAcentral.